CAACACUCAAGCUCAGCUUGGUCUUGAGCCCCGCGGGUCUCCCGCAGGCUUUAAAAUCAGUGGCGGCGCCAUCUGGCUCUAAGCGUAGUAGUAUAAACCCCUCGCUAUUGAGUCCCGGUGGAUGCUGGCCAGCAACCCCCAACUUUCUAA
Molecule: unclassified non-coding RNA, 150 nt
Filed under: uncultured Helotiales
Lineage: Eukaryota; Fungi; Ascomycota; Leotiomycetes; Helotiales
Description: sequence contains ITS2
Source: RNAcentral